UGCUGUGGACAAAAUCCGGAAAGCAUUUCCUUCGCCUUCUGGAGAAUACAAAGGAUUUGAAUAUGCUCAACACUACUGAAUGCGAGAUUUAUGUUGCUUAAUGGCUUCAGCUUUGCUGA
Molecule: long non-coding RNA, 119 nt
Organism: Xenia sp. Carnegie-2017
Lineage: Eukaryota; Metazoa; Cnidaria; Anthozoa; Malacalcyonacea; Xeniidae
Exons: 2
Source: RefSeq, a predicted model, not a curated record